This 252-nucleotide ribosomal RNA is filed under the name uncultured bacterium. RNAcentral's name for it is "partial 16S ribosomal RNA". It matches the Rfam family "Bacterial small subunit ribosomal RNA", at positions 524 to 776 of the family's 1533-position model. The record is from RNAcentral.
UACGUAGGGUGCAAGCGUUAAUCGGAAUUACUGGGCGUAAAGCGUGCGCAGGCGGUUUUGUAAGUCUGUCGUGAAAGCCCCGGGCUCAACCUGGGAAUUGCGAUGGAGACUGCAAGGCUUGAAUCUGGCAGAGGGGGUAGAAUUCCACGUGUAGCAGUGAAAUGCGUAGAGAUGUGGAGGAAUACCGAUGGCGAAGGCAGCCCCCUGGGAUAACACUGACGCUCAUGCACGAAAGCGUGGGGAGCAAACAGG